Molecule: ribosomal RNA, 486 nt
Filed under: uncultured bacterium
Lineage: Bacteria
Description: partial 16S ribosomal RNA
Rfam family: Bacterial small subunit ribosomal RNA
Source: RNAcentral
AUUGAACGCUGGCGGCAUGCCUUACACAUGCAAGUCGAACGGCAGCACGGGUGCUUGCACCUGGUGGCGAGUGGCGAACGGGUGAGUAAUACAUCGGAACAUGUCCUGUAGUGGGGGAUAGCCCGGCGAAAGCCGGAUUAAUACCGCAUACGAUCUACGGAUGAAAGCGGGGGCCCUUCGGGCCUCGCGCUAUCGGGUUGGCCGAUGGCUGAUUAGCUAGUUGGUGGGGUAAAGGCCUACCAAGGCGACGAUCAGUAGCUGGUCUGAGGGGACGACCAGCCACACUGGGACUGAGACACGGCCCAGACUCCUACGGGAGGCAGCAGUGGGGAAUUUUGGACAAUGGGCGAAAGCCUGAUCCAGCAAUGCCGCGUGUGUGAAGAAGGCCUUCGGGUUGUAAAGCACUUUUGUCCGGAAAGAAAUCCUUGGCCCUAAUACGGUCGGGGGAUGACGGUACCGGAAGAAUAAGCACCGGCUAACUACGUG